UCUUACCCCCACAGUAUUUGUCUGCAGAGAGUAAGUUAUCUGUGUAUCAUGUUUGGUUGAAAUUGCUCAAGGCGUUGCAGAGUUAUGCUGUAACAUAGAUUCAUACAGCCCUUGGUAGGUAGGUAGGUAGAUGAUAGAUAGAUAGAUAGAUAGAUAGAUAGAUAGAUAGAUAGAUAGAUAUGGAUCCUGAAUUCUUGAUUAAGAGGGGUGAGGCUUUUGGAUGUCAGCUGAUCAGGCUUGCCCUUUCUGGGGGGGCGCAUUCAAGUUCUCCCCCCAUUCCAUUCUGGAGAGGGGCUCCCCCACCCAAUGUUACAGAACCUAUUCAAGUCCUAGCAGAAUCCCAGUUUUGCAUAUAACUCAGUUUGAAAAAUCCUGGUCUGUUUCAUGUUGCUACAGA
Thamnophis elegans (Western terrestrial garter snake) is the source of this 397-nucleotide long non-coding RNA. RefSeq lists it as uncharacterized. The record is from RefSeq and is a predicted model, not a curated record. NCBI's taxonomy places the organism in Eukaryota, Metazoa, Chordata, Lepidosauria, Squamata, Natricidae. The transcript has 2 exons.